RNAcentral lists this ribosomal RNA (577 nucleotides) under Calicophoron daubneyi. RNAcentral's name for it is "eukaryotic LSU rRNA". It matches the Rfam family "Eukaryotic large subunit ribosomal RNA", at positions 38 to 589 of the family's 3401-position model. Lineage: Eukaryota; Metazoa; Platyhelminthes; Trematoda; Plagiorchiida; Paramphistomidae. The record is from RNAcentral.
GCAUAUCACUAAGCGGAGGAAAAGAAACUAACAAGGAUUCCCUUAGUAACGGCGAGUGAACAGGGAAAAGCCCAGCACCGAAGCCUGUGACUGUUUGGUCACUAGGCAAUGUGGUGUUCAGGUCGUCCUUUGGAGAUGUUACCUCACUUCAAGUCCAGCAAUGAGUAUGGUAAUUCUGACUUGGCCCAGAGAGGGUGAAAGGCCCGUGGGGGUGAGGUUCAGCUGUGAUAACAUCUCCCUUGGUAGACCUUGGAGUCGGGUUGUUUGUGAUUGCAGCCCAAAGCGGGUGGUAAACUCCAUCCAAGGCUAAAUACUUACACGAGUCCGAUAGCGAACAAGUACCGUGAGGGAAAGUUGAAAAGUACUUUGAAGAGAGAGUAAACAGUGCGUGAAACCGCUCAGAGGUAAACGGGUGGAGUUGAACUGCAAACUCUGAGAAUUCAGCUGGUGAGCGUGGUUUGGGCUUGGUCAAAGUGAUUGGCCUGGUGGGUCUGCUCAUCUGCAGGUCCCUGCCUUCGGGUGGGGAUGUGCGAGGCACUUGUCAAGUGUUGCGCGCCCGCAAGGUAAUCCGGUACCG